This is a long non-coding RNA of Ictalurus punctatus (channel catfish), 1999 nucleotides long. NCBI's taxonomy places the organism in Eukaryota, Metazoa, Chordata, Actinopteri, Siluriformes, Ictaluridae. The record is from Ensembl.
UGCGUUUGAUGCGGGAGGCUGCGUAAACUGCUGAUACAGAUGCUGUUGGCGUGAGGGAAACACUGAAGUGUAUCCAGGGUGCAAUCCUGCUGAUUAGGUUUCCUUUGUGCUGAUCAAUGUAAAGAAGUAAACGCUAAGUUCUGUUCAUUCAUUCACUCACACAGCGGGACGUAAACCAGUAAAACUGCUUGUCUGGAAAGCUGCAAUUCAGGAAAGCCGGACAUAUUGUUAUUUGGUACUAGAUGGAAGAUCACUAUUUAAGAAGUCUGGUUGUGUUUAUAUUUAAGGCCGGGGAUAUACUUGCCCUUAACUAUGAAGCCAGCUGUCGUGAGCAUCCUGCUACGUGACUGUUCAUGUCCAAAAAAAGUUAACACGUGCAGAUGAUAAAACACCAACAUAAACAGAGGGGGCAGCGUGUGAACAACAUGAUGGUGCUUUCCAUAAAAGAGACAGAUGGUGCUUCUUGUCACCAACUUCUCUCAUAAAUACAGCUAGAGAAAUAUACUUGGUGCUGAUUGGUAUAAUAACCUGAUGUUUCUACCUACGCUAACUCAGCUGCCCCAGUCUCCAUCAUCUUCUAAAGAUACACAGCAGAGGUCGACCGAUGGGGGAUUUUACCCACACCGAUAACCGAUAUUAACUUUAUUACAAAAAUAAACAGUACUGACUGUACCAUGAAAAUGUACGCUGCUGUUUUAAAUAAAAUAAACAUAUAAAUAUCAAUCGAUAUAUUAACUAUUCGUUAGGGGGUGCUCCGAUCAGGAUUUUUGGGGCUGAUCACCGAUCCCCGAUGGCUGGAAGCUGUAUCGUCCGAUACCAAUCACAGGGUCUCUUUAAAGCCUUCUAUUCGUCAUGUAGCAUUAUUUAUAGAGCUGCAACAACUAAUCGAUGAAAUGGAUAAUAAUCGAUUAUGAAAAUCGUCGUCAACGAAUCUCAUUAUGGAUUAGUUGGUCUGCGCGCGGCACGGGGGAGAUUUAUUCAUUACGUUACUUCUGUUCCGAAAACACGCUUCGGAGAGUAAAUACUAAAGUUGUGUCCCAAAUGAAGUACUGUACACUUACACUAUGCACUAUAUACUCUACCGUCUAGUGUGUGGAUUUUAGAAAGGUAAUAUCAUCUCAAAUAGAACACUAGCAGGUUUUUUUACUAACCGGAAGUAUAAGCCACAACGGCACAUGACAUGAUACGCACGCUAGCAUUAGCAGACACCGAGUCAACGACAACAACUUUCUUCAGUUUACUUUGUCAGCGUUACAUUUUAUUCCCAACAUGACCUCAGUCUCCAUCAGACAGAGGCGAAAUCGUCACGAACUGAGGAAGAAAGUGUGCAACCUCCAAGUGCCUCUAAGGUAGGGGGGCAUUUUAAACACCGUGGAAAUCAAACUGAUGCACGAGCACAAAGUUAUGUUUAUAUCCAAAAUGCUCCACUGUGUGUAAGGGGCAGGGGAAACUGGUGCAAGCUGCUUAAAAGGUUUAGAUUAAUUUAAGUUUCUUGUCAUUUAUAUGCUGUAUUUGUGCGCUUGCAGUGUAAAUUCUGUCGUUUAUUAUAACGGAAGUGAUGUGUUAGUAACGAGGCCGCGUUGCUGAUCAAGCGUGGUAUCAGCGCGUCUACACAGAGUGUAGUGCGAGUAAGAUCUGUAAUGUCUAAUUAAAACACUAUGGUCAAAAGUAAACACAAGUAAAAUAAUAUUCCUAAAGUCAGCGAGUAACAGAAGCCACAAGGUGCAGUGAAAGGGAGUUUUUAUUAUUCAUUUAGGACUGUAGUUUAAUUCAGUGCUUUUUGUGCAUCCAUAAACAUAAUGCAUAAACACUAUAAAAUAAUACAUAUAUAUACACACACAUUUAUUUUUAUAGUAUUUAUACAUUAUUUUUUAUGGAUGCACAAAAAGCACCGAAUUAAACUACAGUCCUAAAUUAAUAAUAUAUAUUCUGGUGUGUGUGUGUAUUGAGUAAUUUUCUGUUUUGUACAAACAGUUGUGUAAAGUUUUAGUAUGAAGUU